CAGGGGCCUGGGGCCUACUCCUUGGAGCGCCCGGGCCAUGGAGGCCCUGCGGAGGGCCCACGAGUCUGUGCUGCGGCUGCUGCUGUGCAGGCCCUGGGCCUUGGAUACCGCCCCCCGCCCGAAGCCCCGCGCCUCGGAGGUGCUGACGCUGCACCUGCUGCAACGGCGCCUGCCGCACUGGACCUCCUUCUGCGUGCCUUACAGCGCGGUCCACAACGACCAGUUCGGCCUGUCCCACUUCAACUGGCCGGUGCUAGGCGCCAACUACCACAUCCUGCGCACUGGCUGCUUCCCCUUCAUCAAGUACCACUGCUCCAAGGCUCCUUGGCAGGACCUGGCCCCACAGAACCGCUUCUUCACGGCGCUCAAGGUCAUCAACCUGGGAGGACCCUGCCUUGUGCAGCGAGGAGCGAGUCAGGAAACGCCCCCACUUGGACAGUAGCUCUGAAGUUUCCUUAGCAGGAGUCAUUCCUGCGCUCUUCACUGGCAGGGAGCCUUUGGAGGACAUAAACAGGACGACUUUUAAAGUAUUCCAACUUUGUUAUAUGGACUUGGCUCCUGGUUAUUUGCCAGAGUCACAGAGACUGUUCAUACCAGUUACGGACCAAUAACAAUCUAUUUUCUAAAUAAAGAAGAUGAAGGUGCCAUGUAUUGAGAGUGUACAUUGGAAAAUACAAAUGUCAAUGAAUUUGUUC
RNA transcript from Phodopus roborovskii (desert hamster), 695 nucleotides. It is a transcript of the gene named chromosome unknown C15orf61 homolog, with no coding region annotated. Lineage: Eukaryota; Metazoa; Chordata; Mammalia; Rodentia; Cricetidae. The transcript is spliced from 3 exons. The record is from RefSeq and is a predicted model, not a curated record.